This 29-nucleotide non-coding RNA is filed under the name Drosophila melanogaster (fruit fly). RNAcentral also lists the same sequence under 4 other names. The record is from RNAcentral. Lineage: Eukaryota; Metazoa; Arthropoda; Insecta; Diptera; Drosophilidae.
GACCUCAAAUCAGGUAGGACUACCCGCUG